AUGGGCCCUACUGGUUCAGGUAAAACUUUGCUUGCAAAGACAUUAGCUCGGUUUGUGAAUGUGCCAUUUGUAAUUGCUGAUGCAACAACAUUGACCCAGGCAGGGUAUGUAGGAGAAGAUGUAGAAUCUAUAUUGUACAAGUUACUUACGGUGGCAGAUUUUAAUGUGCAAGCAGCACAACAAGGGAUGGUGUACAUUGAUGAAGUUGAUAAGAUCACUAAGAAGGCUGAGAGCCUUAACAUCAGUAGAGAUGUAUCAGGCGAAGGUGUUCAGCAGGCUUUGUUGAAAAUGCUCGAAGGCACGAUAGUCAAUGUCCCUGAGAAAGGAGCAAGGAAGCAUCCUCGUGGCGAUAAUAUACAGAUAGAUACGAAGGAUAUUCUGUUUAUAUGUGGGGGUGCUUUUAUUGACUUGGAGAAAACUAUAUCAGAGAGGCGGCAGGAUUCUUCUAUUGGAUUUGGGGCACCUGUCCGUGCAAGCAUGAGGACUAGUGGUAUUUCAAGUGCUCAAGUGACAUCGUCCUUGUUAGAAUCAGUUGAGAGCAGUGAUCUUAUAGCAUAUGGACUCAUUCCGGAGUUCAUUGGACGUUUUCCUAUCCUUGUCAGCUUGGCAGCACUAAAUGAGGACCAACUUGUUCAGGUUCUCACCGAGCCAAAGAAUGCUCUAGGUAAACAAUUCAAGAAGUUGUUCAGCAUGAAUAAUGUUAAGCUUCACUUCACGGAUGCUGCACUAAGAAUAAUUGCCCAGAAGGCAAUGUGCAAAAAUACAGGUGCACGGGGCUUAAGGACUAUCCUUGAGAAUAUUCUCAUGGAUUCCAUGUAUGAGAUUCCAGAUACAAAAUCUGGAGAGAAGCGAAUUGACGCAGUGGUUGUAGAUGAAGGUGCAGUAGGAUUGGUGGACCGACCUGGCUGUGGAGCUAAGAUCCUUUACGGCGAUGGUGCAUUUGAUCGUUAUCUAUCCCAGAUAAAGGCAAUGGGAGACGGAGCAGGAAGCGAAGUGGAUGGGGAUCCUGACCUUUCUUCGUCAAGAGCCAUGAGCAUGUGA
This 1041-nucleotide ribosomal RNA is filed under the name Triticum aestivum (bread wheat). RNAcentral's name for it is "partial small subunit ribosomal RNA". Lineage: Eukaryota; Viridiplantae; Streptophyta; Magnoliopsida; Poales; Poaceae. The record is from RNAcentral.